CCUACGGGAGGCAGCAGUGAGGAAUAUUGGUCAAUGGCCGGAAGGCUGAACCAGCCAAGCCGCGUGAAGGACGCAGGUUCCAAGCAUUGUAAACUUCUUUUGUCAAGGGACAAAAUCAGGCUCGAGAGCCUGACCGAGGGUACUUGAAGAAAAAGCAUCGGCUAACUCCGUGCCAGCAGCCGCGGUAAUACGGAGGAUGCGAGCGUUAUCCGGAUUUAUUGGGUUUAAAGGGUGCGUAGGCGGACUGUUCAGUCAGCGGUAAAAGGACGGGGAUCAAACCCGGCGAGUCGUUGAGACUGGCUGUCUUGAGAUGUCGAGAGGUAUGCGGAAUGCGCAGUGUAGCGGUGAAAUGCUUAGAUAUUGCGCAGAACUCCGAUUGCGAAGGCAGCAUACCGGCGGCGAUCUGACGCUGAGGCACGAAAGCGUGGGUAUCGAACAGGAUUAGAUACCCCUGUAGUC
RNAcentral lists this ribosomal RNA (459 nucleotides) under uncultured bacterium. RNAcentral's name for it is "partial 16S ribosomal RNA". It matches the Rfam family "Bacterial small subunit ribosomal RNA", at positions 338 to 795 of the family's 1533-position model. The record is from RNAcentral.